ACACGUGUGGUGAAAUGGUAUCAUGCUUGCCUUCCAUGUUCGUUAGCAAGCGGCUCGGGUUCGAUUCCCGGCGCGUGUA
Molecule: transfer RNA, 79 nt
Organism: Sphaerobolus stellatus SS14
Lineage: Eukaryota; Fungi; Basidiomycota; Agaricomycetes; Geastrales; Sphaerobolaceae
Rfam family: tRNA
About the family: Transfer RNA (tRNA) molecules are approximately 80 nucleotides in length. Their secondary structure includes four short double-helical elements and three loops (D, anti-codon, and T loops). Further hydrogen bonds mediate the characteristic L-shaped molecular structure. tRNAs have two regions of fundamental functional importance: the anti-codon, which is responsible for specific mRNA codon recognition, and the 3' end, to which the tRNAs corresponding amino acid is attached (by aminoacyl-tRNA synthetases). tRNAs cope with the degeneracy of the genetic code in two manners: having more than one tRNA (with a specific anti-codon) for a particular amino acid; and 'wobble' base-pairing, i.e. permitting non-standard base-pairing at the 3rd anti-codon position.
Source: Rfam